Long non-coding RNA from Branchiostoma floridae (Florida lancelet), 1137 nucleotides. RefSeq lists it as uncharacterized. NCBI's taxonomy places the organism in Eukaryota, Metazoa, Chordata, Leptocardii, Amphioxiformes, Branchiostomatidae. The record is from RefSeq and is a predicted model, not a curated record. The transcript has 3 exons.
UGUGUGUGUGUGUGUGUGUGUGUGUGUGUGUGAAGGUUGCGCGCCUUAGGAUUACGGUUUUUGACCCAAACUUCGAGCGAACGCACACGAGGAGUGUUGUACAUUUAACGUGCUCAUAACGCACCCUCCCUGCUUUCGAUGAAUAAAAUGAUAAUUUGCAUCUUUGAUAUUAUUUACAUCUCCAGUUUCUGAGCUGCAUGACGAGCGUCGUGUACAAUUCUUGUUCCUUCGUUGAAGUAAUCUCUUUGAAAGAUUUAAGAAAAAAACAUAUGAAGUUCCAUAGCAACCUGCUAUGAGAUGAAACUUACACCGCUUCUUCUGAACAUCAUAAGCGCUAUCUGCCACCCCAAAGAAUCUAGUUCUACUAACAGUUACAGUGUCAAUGAAAGUCGCCAAUCUUUACCUCCAUCUUCCCAACACAACACCUAUUCACAUACCAAAUAUCAUCACGAUCCAUCCAAAAGGUCUUGAAAUACACCCAGAACAAUAUCUCCUUUUUUUCGUGGAGGUAAUGACAAAUAAUAACCGAUCCAACAACUGCACUACCCGCAUGCCACCAAGCAACCUUCUAUUGUUCGACACCUGGUCGACUAGAGACAGACACAGUCAUUUGGCACGCCAAGCCUACAGAAAGGCUGUGACAUAACAUAGUUACGAUCGUCAAAAUGAAGCUAUAGCUAGAUCAGACCACACAAAAACACGUAGCAGAUCAUACAGAAGCCCCAGUGAUCGACUCGCAGUAGCUCACCUUUCCUUGGGUUCGGAGCUAUCGUCUAUACAAGUUAGCACAGUCCGUGAUUACUGUGUUUUUCUGGGUUCGUCCUAUGGCUGAUGAAUAUGAGAGUAAUUAACAAAUACCUCCAUAAGUGUGGUAUGCGAAUGGACCUUUGUGUGUGAUGCCCGCAGGAGACGCUAACUCCUACCGCUAACAGCCUACCGGACAACCUGAAGACCGGAGGUUUCAGUGGCACGAAAAGGCCAGAAGUAAACGUUAGGUUGAUGAAUAACAAUCGUGAAAGCGCGGUUUUGUAAUGAUCCUCAUGGACAUUGUGUUGUAUUUCUUCCGUUCAUGUUGAGUGUUCGCUGUGGAAUUUCGCUUAUUUCGGUGGUUGUUCAAUAAAACCUGAUGUAAAAACA